AGAGUGAACGCUGGCGGCAGGCCUAAUACAUGCAAGUCGAACGGCAGCACGGCAGAGCUUGCUCUGUGGGUGGCGAGUGGCGGACGGGUGAGGAAUACAUGGGAAUCUGCCCAGUCGUGGGGGAUAACGUAGGGAAACUUACGCUAAUACCGCAUGCGCCGUCGGGGAAAGCCGGGACGUCGGCCGUGGCGCGAUUGGAUGAGCCCAUGUCGGAGUUAGCGUAGUUGGUCGGGGUAACGGCCGUACCGAAGGCGACGAUCCGGUAGCGUGGUCU
This 274-nucleotide ribosomal RNA is filed under the name uncultured soil bacterium. RNAcentral describes it as "partial 16S ribosomal RNA". It matches the Rfam family "Bacterial small subunit ribosomal RNA", at positions 26 to 294 of the family's 1533-position model. The record is from RNAcentral.